AGUGUGUGUGUCAGGUGUGAUCGUGUGUGAGAGGUGGUUUGUGUGUUUCAGGGGUGGUCGUUAGUGUGUGUGUGAGAAAGGUGGUUGAUGUUUGUGUUUCAGGGGUGAUCGUGUGUGAGAGGUGGUUUGUGUGUUUCAGGGGUGGUCAGUGUGUGCAUGUGGUAGUUAGUGUGUAUGUCAGAGGUGGUCAGUGUGUGUGUGUCAGGGGUGAUCGUGUGUGAGAAGUGGUUUGUGUGUUUCAGGGGUGGUCGGUAUGGGCAUGUCAGGGGUGAUAGGUGUGUGUGAGGUGGUUAGUGUGUGUGUUUGUCAGGGGUGAUCGUGUGUGAGAGGUGGUUUGUUUGUUUCAGGGGUGGUCGUUAGUGUGUGUGAGAAAGGUGGUUGGUGUUUGUGUGUCAGGGGUGAUCGGUGUGUGAGAAGUGGUUUGUGUGUUUCAAGGGUGGUCAGUGUGUGCGUGUGGUAGUUAGUGUGUGUGAGAGGUGGUUGGUGUGUGUGUGAGAAGGGGUUUGUGUGUUUCAGGGGAGGUCGGUAUGGGCAUGUCAGGGGUGAUAGGUGUGUGUGAGGUGGUUAGUGUGUAUGUCAGAGGUGGUCAGUGUGUGUGUGUGUCAGGGGUGAUCGUGUGUGAGAAGUGGUUUGUGUGUUUCAGGGGUGGUCGGUAUGGGUGUGUCAGGGGUGAUAGGUGUGUGUGAGGUGGUUGGUUUGUAUGUUAGAGGUGGUCAGUGUGUGUGUCAGGGGUGAUCGUGUGUUCGAGG
This is a non-coding RNA of Pelobates cultripes (western spadefoot toad), 749 nucleotides long. The record is from the annotation of a GenBank genome assembly. NCBI's taxonomy places the organism in Eukaryota, Metazoa, Chordata, Amphibia, Anura, Pelobatidae.